GGGAGCUUUCCAUAACUCCGGCGAAAUUCUUGGUAGCUUCCGACAGAUCCUUUCUUGGUAUAUCCAUUGUCAUUCCCGUGGACGACGGUUCAUGAUCCGGUGUGGCACAAACCUGAGCUCAACAUCAAGCACUUCAUUGGUGGUGUUGAAGAAGCUUUGGGUUGUCUUUGGUUCGGUUUUACACUUUGAGAGUUUAAUUAUUCCGUAUUGUAGUUGUAAUAAUUUUUUGUAUACUACACUUUAAACUCUACAAAUGGUAUCAGAGCUUAGGCUAGUGGUAAAAAGUGUUAAAACAACCUGAAAAUCGGAUUGGAAGUCGAAGGAGUUCGGUUUUGUUCGAAAACAAUUUCAGCAGAAUCUUCAAACCCAUUUUCUGGAAAAACGACACACCUGGUGGACGAACGGAGAGCACGACUAGACUCUAGACGACAAGCAGAACAUUCCGGUGUAGCGCGUGUGACACAUGCACCGACAGUGGAGACGGCACGUGACGCCACGCGUAGAGGUCACAGGAGCCGUGUGAGGGUGCGUAUGGAGGUUUCAGCCAGAGGUCAAAAAAGACAGAUUGUUCUUUGAUGAAUUUUUGACCUUCUGGUGGUGUUGAAUUUCAAUUUGAUGCACUGUGGAAGCAGAUACAGUCUCAAGCAGAAAAGUGGAAAUGGAGAAACUUUUCCGUUGGCGACUUGGUGGUGUUUCUUGGUGUUUCAGCAACUGUUGGAUGACUUAGGGUAGUUACUGGAGGCUUCAAAUCGAUAAAAACUCGCAUCUUUCCUUAAAAUAUGAACCAAUAGAUUGGUUCACUCGGUUUGCG
RNAcentral lists this long non-coding RNA (811 nucleotides) under Olea europaea subsp. europaea. The record is from RNAcentral. Lineage: Eukaryota; Viridiplantae; Streptophyta; Magnoliopsida; Lamiales; Oleaceae.